AAAUAAAUAAAUAAAUAAAUAAUUAUUUUUAAAACAGUCCAUAUAACAGUCCAUUUACAUUGACCCACCAACCCGUAAACCCAAAACCAAUUGGCCUAAACCUUAUGCCCGGUUACAACUCAGCAGACCUAAACCCGUUACAUUACUGGCCCAUUUCUAAAAUCCUACUCCCGGUACCCAUUACACCCUACCUAGCCCAGAACUAAAGUGGCCCAAUUGACCCAAACUCUCAGUGGCCCAAAAUUUAGAAGCAUUCGGCUAGGGUUAGAAACCCUAGCCCUCUCCUCGUGCCGCAAGGAAUUUCUAGAAGCUUCGGGCACUUCAAAAGACGUGGCCUUUCAUCUCAAUCGUCACCACCAAGUAUGCCGUGAUUUCUCAACUCUGCCGUCAUAUAUCACGCCACCAUCGACGCGCAAGACACGCCAGAAUCCGACGUUGGCUCCAUCAGCGCGCAGACAUCAGUGAUCGAGCGAGAUUCUCGUGGAUUACCUGCGAACAAAAGAGGAAACAAAGACAGAAAACCAAGGCAAAUAUGGAAAGAAAUCAAAGAUUUCUUUCCUAAAACAUAAUAGCUUAAGGCUAUAAAACCUUUCUGUAAAAGGAGAUAAAAGGAAAGGAGAAGGAGAGAUACAAAGAUAAAAAAAACACAGUCAUAAGGAAAAAUACACCACAAAAAGAUAUUGUACAUUGAGUAUUUUUUGAAUAAUAUACCAGAAGGAUUUGGAGAGAAACGAAGGUGACUCAUUACUUUUUUUCUGUUUUUACUUCAUUUUUUUAUUGCAAACAAUCGAUAUAUAAUAUAUUAAACAGAAAGAAGAAGAAAAUACCUUGAGAAUCGCCCUGAAAAGCGAAGCAAUUCAGCAAUCAUGGUGCUCAGUAAUCGUUUUUUCGGAGACCUAUGCCUUUUCAGGUUGGUGCUUGGAGGAGCUUGCGGAGAUUGUUAAACAAAAAAAUGACAAGGGUCAUAAAGUAUUUCCAAUUUUCUACCAUGUGGAUCCCUCUGAUUUAAGAAAACAAAAAGGAAAAGUUGAAGAAGCCUUCGCCAAACAUGAAGAAAGAUACAAAGAAAAUAAAGACAAGAUCCAAAAGUGGCGAAAUGCUUUGACUGAAGUGGCUAACAUCAAGGGAUGGGAUUUACAUAAUAGGUAUUUCUUUC
This 1156-nucleotide long non-coding RNA is filed under the name Gossypium barbadense (sea-island cotton). RNAcentral describes it as "long non-coding RNA (GBAR_LNC010975)". The record is from RNAcentral. Lineage: Eukaryota; Viridiplantae; Streptophyta; Magnoliopsida; Malvales; Malvaceae.